RNAcentral lists this unclassified non-coding RNA (314 nucleotides) under plant metagenome. RNAcentral describes it as "partial contains 5.8S ribosomal RNA, internal transcribed spacer 2, and large subunit ribosomal RNA". The stretch from base 1 to 105 matches the Rfam family "5.8S ribosomal RNA", at positions 50 to 154 of the family's 154-position model. The record is from RNAcentral.
GAAAUGCGAUAAUUAAUGUGAAUUGCAGAAUUCAGUGAAUCAUCGAGUCUUUGAACGCACAUUGCGCCCCCUGGUAUUCCGGGGGGCAUGCCUGUCCGAGCGUCAUUGCUGCCCUCAAGCACGGCUUGUGUGUUGGGCUUCCGUCCCUGGCAACGGGGACGGGCCCAAAAGGCAGUGGCGGCACCAUGUCUGGUCCUCGAGCGUAUGGGGCUUUGUCACCCGCUCCCGUAGGUCCAGCUGGCAGCUAGCCUCGCAACCAAUCUUUUUAACCAGGUUGACCUCGGAUCAGGUAGGGAUACCCGCUGAACUUAAAC